Molecule: ribosomal RNA, 478 nt
Filed under: uncultured bacterium
Lineage: Bacteria
Description: partial 16S ribosomal RNA
Rfam family: Bacterial small subunit ribosomal RNA
Source: RNAcentral
GAUGAACGCUAGCGGCAGGCUUAACACAUGCAAGUCGAGGGGUAUCUAUCUUCGGAUAGAGAGACCGGCGCACGGGUGCGUAACGCGUAUGCAAUCUACCUUUUACAGAGGGAUAGCCCAGAGAAAUUUGGAUUAAUACCUCAUAGUAUAUAGACUCGGCAUCGAGAUUAUAUUAAAGUCACAACGGUAAAAGAUGAGCAUGCGUCCCAUUAGCUAGUUGGUAAGGUAACGGCUUACCAAGGCUACGAUGGGUAGGGGUCCUGAGAGGGAGAUCCCCCACACUGGUACUGAGACACGGACCAGACUCCUACGGGAGGCAGCAGUGAGGAAUAGUGGACAAUGGGCGCAAGCCUGAUCCAGCCAUGCCGCGUGCAGGAUGACGGUCCUAUGGAUUGUAAACUGCUUUUAUACGAGAAGAAACACUGCUACGUGUAGCAGCUUGACGGUAUCGUAAGAAUAAGGAUCGGCUAACUCCGUG